CCCCCGCUAACCACUGACCCCCGCUAACCACUGACCUCCGCUAACCGCUGACCCCCGCUAACCACUGACCUCCGCUGACUGCUGACCCCCGCUAACCACUGACCUCCGCUAACCGCUGACCACCGCUAACCACUGAUCUCCACUAACCACUGUUCUCCGGUAACCGCUGACCCCCGCUAACCGCUGAUCCCCGCUAACCACUGACCUCCGCAGACCGCUGACCACCGCUAACCACUGACCUCCGCUGACCGCUGACCACCGCUAACCGCUGACCACCGCUAACCGCUGACCUCCGCUAACCGCUGACCCCCGCUAACCACUGACCUCCGCUGACCGCUAACCACUGACACCUGCUAACCGCUGACCACCGCUAACCACCGCUAACCACUGACCUCCGCUGACCGCCGACCACCGCUAACCACUGACCCCUGCUAACCACUGACCUCCGCUGACCGCUAACCACUGACACCUGCUAACCGCUGACCACCGCUAACCACUGACCUCCGCUGACCGCUGACCACCGCUAACCACUGACCACCACUAACCGCAUGGGAUGGUCCAAAACCUUCUGACCACAGCUGGUACUGGUCCAACUGGUACUGGUCCAAAUGGUACUGGUCCAAAUGGUCAGAUACUGGUCCAACUGGUACUGGUCCAACAGGUACUGGUCCAAAUGGUACUGGUCCAACUACUACUGGUCCAAAUGGUCAGAUACUGGUCCAACUGGUACUGGUCCAACUGGUACUGGUCCAUACAGAACAGAGUCCUUCAGGGAGGAUCCACAGUCCUCCUCUUGUUGUCUGGUCCACAGGCUGCUAACCGCUACUAGACGGAACGCACUGGAUGGAUCUACAUGGAGUAGACCAUGGUCCAACAGUGGAAGGGCUGAUGGAGUAAACCAUGGUCAAACAGUGGAAGGGCUGAGAGAUGGAGUAGAAGGUGGAAGGGAAGGGCUGAGAGAUGGAGUAAACCAUGGUCAAACAGUGGAAGGGCUGAGAGAUGGAGUAAACCAUGGUCAAACAGUGGAAGGGGCUGAUGGAGUAAACCAUGGUCAAACAGUGGAAGGGCUGAUGGAGUAAACCAUGGUCCAACAGUGGAAGGGCUGAUGGAGUAAACCAUGGUCCAACAGUGGAAGGGCUGAUGGAGUAAACCAUGGUCAAACAGUGGAAGGGCUGAUGGAGUAGACCAUGGUCAAACAGUGGAAGGGCUGAGAGAUGGAGUAGAAGGUGGAAGGGAAGGGCUGAGAGAUGGAAUAAACCAUGGUCAAACAGUGGAAGGGCUGAUGGAGUAGACCAUGGUCAAACAGUGGAGUGGCUGAUGGAGUAGACCAUGGUCAAACAGUGGAAGGGCUGAGAGAUGGAGUAAACCAUGGUCAAACAGUGGAAGGACUGAUGGAAUAAACCAUGGUCAAACAGUGGAAGGGCUCAGAGAGGAACAAUACAUUCCUGUGGGACGAUUCUGUCACCUUCAGGUUAAACUGUACUGUAUGUUUCAUCUAGUCUGAAGUUUGGACACUGGGUGGUUCUACACUGAGUGGACAAAACAUUAGGAACACUUCCCUAACACCCUCAGAACAGCCUCACUUCGUCGUGGCGUGGACUCUACAAGGUGUUGAAAGCUUUCCAACAAGGAUGUUGGUCCAUGUUGACUCCAAUGCUUCCUACAGUUGUGUCAAGUUGGCUGUCCUUCGGUUGGUGGAACAUUCUUCAUACACACGGGAAACUAUUGAGCGUGAAAAAUCCAGCAGCGUUGCAGUUCUUGACACAAAACGGUGCACCUGGCACCUACUACCAUACCCCGUUUUAUUCAGUGUAUAACAGAGCUUCUCUCAGAGCAAGGAGAAUGAGUGGUGUCAUCGGCAGAGAUGGUUUCCCACACGGCGUGUGUGUUGGUGUGACCUUGCCCGUGUGCGUGAUGACGUGUGAGUGUUUGGACGAAAGCCUCUACAUUCCUGCAUCCCUGGUCCUCCAUCUUCAUCCGUCUCCUGUCUGUUGUGUCAUUAUGCAGCAUCUACACAAGGCUGUGUUAAUGGGACUGUUACACUGCUGU
This 2049-nucleotide long non-coding RNA is filed under the name Salmo salar (Atlantic salmon). RNAcentral's name for it is "lncRNA (ENSSSAG00000110711.1)". Lineage: Eukaryota; Metazoa; Chordata; Actinopteri; Salmoniformes; Salmonidae. The record is from RNAcentral.